RNAcentral lists this unclassified non-coding RNA (263 nucleotides) under Hevea brasiliensis (rubber tree). Lineage: Eukaryota; Viridiplantae; Streptophyta; Magnoliopsida; Malpighiales; Euphorbiaceae. The record is from RNAcentral.
AGCUCAAGUUUCUGUUUUGUUGCCUAAAAAAUAGUCUUCACAUCAACAAGGCAUGUGAAAUUAUUGAAACUCAAACAAACAAAGAAAAACUGUUGAAGAAAACAUGUAACCAGUACGGAGGCUUGCAAAAUAAUCACAUGGGUGCGCCAUGCACGCGAACUAAGACUGAAUUUUUACUUUGAAUUCACUAAAAAUCCUUAGUCUAGUGCAACAGACACAUUAAUUUGUUUCUUUGCUGUUCUUCUCUUUUAACACAUCUAUAA